Oncorhynchus mykiss (rainbow trout) is the source of this 1395-nucleotide long non-coding RNA. The record is from Ensembl. Lineage: Eukaryota; Metazoa; Chordata; Actinopteri; Salmoniformes; Salmonidae.
AUGUCUGCAGCCACCACGCCCAAACUCAAAUUCAAUUCAUAUUUAGAUCAGAGUAUGAUUGAUAGAGCGGGAGGUAAAGAACAGUAUGGGAAAGUGGAGAAAGUGUGGAAAGGAUUACGGCUAAAAUGGACACAAGCAGGUUACUUUAGAGGAGGACCCCCUACAGGGGGGAAACUCCAAGAUAUGCAGAAAGAACUAGAGGACGCAGUAGAGCAUGUAAAAGCAAGUGAGACAGAGAGGAACAAAGCUCAUUUGUUCAAAAAGAAAGGGACAAGAGAGAAAGAACGGGCAGAAGCAGAGUUGAAGGUUGGGACAUGGGCUAUAGAGGAGUGUAGGAGGGUGCAGCCCAAAAACACACCAGACAUGAUGUGCGUGGCUACUGUGGCGUCGGGGGAUGUUAAAGCCCCGCCUGAGAACUUGCCCACGGCUCCCCCUGAGGCCGCUUCUCCCUCACUAUAUCCAAAAUUGUCAAUGGAGGCAGUUCAGCCCCCGCCAUACUCAAAGGGACAAAAUCACCGGAGCCCGUCACACAACCCAUUCCACGGUAACAACCCAUUCCUGCCCAGGGCACCUCCCGCAAUACAGGCUCCAGUUCUGAGAGUACAGCAAGGGGAGCUAAAAGGGGAAAUGACACUGGGGAUAACGGGUGGCCAUAUUGUAUGUGAACAGCUCGAAACCGGGACUCCAGGCGCAGGAGGCCUCCCCCAGGAACGGAGACCGCAAUGCUCCUCUGUGAAUUCUCUCAUCUCUGAAACCAGAGGACACCUACUCACAGGAAUAGAUUCAAACCACUUCUAUCAGACGGAUAGGGAGGACAGUCAUCAGAGCAUGGAUACCGAAAACGAAGAAGAAAUUGACAUGGUGCUCACCCCAGCUCCAAGGGGAGGUCCAAACGUGACUAAGAUGCAGGAGCUGCUGCAAUCAUCAAUAGCUCGAGCUAAGGAACUCAGGGAGCUUAUGGCUAACCACGAAAACAACAGAGAGGGAGCCUACCGUGUGGAAGGCAUAAUGAGAGGAACAGUAACCGAAGUGACCGAAUCAAUGGGGUCCGAAACACUCCGGAGAACGUACCCUACAGAAAGGAACCACGCCACCUUAUCCUCCUUUACAAUCAACCCAGGUGAGCAACCUGCGGCAUACCUGGACAGAGCUAAGACCACAUGGAGAUCGGUCCACGAAGAACCAUUCGAUCACACAGACACCACACUCAGCAUGUGGAAGGAAAUGGUGGUGAACGGGUGUCCUGGAGAUGUGAAAACGAAACUGAGAGGAACGGUAGGGUUGAUUGCACUUCCUCUGACCCAAUUCAAUACGCAUGUGCACCACCAUGUGACAACAAUAAGGAAAGAGGGGGUGCUGAGAGCCAGGUGCAGUCCCUCCUGGUACAACUCCUGA